This 27-nucleotide non-coding RNA is filed under the name Homo sapiens (human). Lineage: Eukaryota; Metazoa; Chordata; Mammalia; Primates; Hominidae. The record is from RNAcentral.
UGUAGUGCAGCAGUUGUCCACUUCUGG